This 496-nucleotide ribosomal RNA is filed under the name uncultured bacterium. RNAcentral's name for it is "partial 16S ribosomal RNA". It matches the Rfam family "Bacterial small subunit ribosomal RNA", at positions 28 to 506 of the family's 1533-position model. The record is from RNAcentral.
GAUGAACGCUGGCGGCGUGCCUAAUACAUGCAAGUCGAGCGAACGGACGAGGAGCUUGCUCCUCUGACGUUAGCGGCGGACGGGUGAGUAACACGUGGAUAACCUACCUAUAAGACUGGGAUAACUUCGGGAAACCGGAGCUAAUACCGGAUAAUAUAUUGAACCGCAUGGUUCAAUAGUGAAAGACGGUUUUGCUGUCACUUAUAGAUGGAUCCGCGCCGCAUUAGCUAGUUGGUAAGGUAACGGCUUACCAAGGCAACGAUGCGUAGCCGACCUGAGAGGGUGAUCGGCCACACUGGAACUGAGACACGGUCCAGACUCCUACGGGAGGCAGCAGUAGGGAAUCUUCCGCAAUGGGCGAAAGCCUGACGGAGCAACGCCGCGUGAGUGAUGAAGGUCUUCGGAUCGUAAAACUCUGUUAUUAGGGAAGAACAAAUGUGUAAGUAACUAUGCACGUCUUGACGGUACCUAAUCAGAAAGCCACGGCUAACUACGU